GUUGAAAUUUUCCAAACGAGCAAACGACCGAAAAUUUAACUACGAAAAGUGAGAGAAACUGAGAUUUUUGAGACUUUAGCGGCUCUUAAAAAUUUGCGAAGCGUGAUAAUUGGAGCAUGUUAUGCUCUCAAAAAUCCUGGAAGUUGCCGGCAAACAUAAAAACCCUUCUUUUCGUUUUCAAAAUAUGCUGAGAGAAUAUGGAACACCAU
Caenorhabditis elegans is the source of this 209-nucleotide non-coding RNA. Lineage: Eukaryota; Metazoa; Nematoda; Chromadorea; Rhabditida; Rhabditidae. The record is from Ensembl.